Molecule: non-coding RNA, 240 nt
Filed under: Thermoactinomyces sp.
Lineage: Bacteria; Bacillati; Bacillota; Bacilli; Caryophanales; Thermoactinomycetaceae
Description: T-box sequence
Rfam family: T-box leader
About the family: Uncharged tRNA acts as the effector for transcription antitermination of genes in the T-box leader family. T-boxes are found upstream of many aminoacyl-tRNA synthetase genes and some amino acid biosynthetic genes usually in Gram-positive bacteria. The anticodon of a specific tRNA base pairs to a specifier sequence within the T-box motif, and the NCCA acceptor tail of the tRNA base pairs to a conserved bulge in the T-box antiterminator hairpin.
Source: RNAcentral
GCCGAUUCGAUGACGGGGAUGAGUAGUGGGUGGAAGCUAUGGACAGAGAGCCGGGACAGGUGAAAGCCGGCAUAGCGGAAGCCGAUGAAAUGGCCCCCGAGUAUUCUCUUUGAACCGGACCGUUGUCCCAAAGUAGGAGAGAACGUUUUCCCGCGUUACGGGAGCAGAGUGGGUGAUCGCCUUUUCUUGUGCGAUGAAGCCAAAUUGGGUGGUACCGCGAGACCGGAUCUCGUCCCAACG